GAGGGUCUAGCUCAGUGGAAGAGCACAUGGUUAGCAGGCAUGAGUCCUGGGUUCAAUCCCCAGUGCCUCCA
This 71-nucleotide transfer RNA is filed under the name Camelus bactrianus (Bactrian camel). It matches the Rfam family "tRNA". From Rfam's summary of the family: Transfer RNA (tRNA) molecules are approximately 80 nucleotides in length. Their secondary structure includes four short double-helical elements and three loops (D, anti-codon, and T loops). RNAcentral also lists the same sequence under 2 other names. The record is from Rfam by way of RNAcentral. Lineage: Eukaryota; Metazoa; Chordata; Mammalia; Artiodactyla; Camelidae.